Molecule: ribosomal RNA, 878 nt
Filed under: Amniculicola aquatica
Lineage: Eukaryota; Fungi; Ascomycota; Dothideomycetes; Pleosporales; Amniculicolaceae
Description: SSU rRNA
Rfam family: Eukaryotic small subunit ribosomal RNA
Source: RNAcentral
UUAAAUCAGUUAUCGUUUAUUUGAUAGUACCUUACUACUUGGAUAACCGUGGUAAUUCUAGAGCUAAUACAUGCUAAAAACCCCGACUUCGGAAGGGGUGUAUUUAUUAGAUAAAAAGCCAAUGCCCUCCGGGGCUCUUUGGUGAUUCAUAGUAACUUAACGGAUCGCAUGGCCUUGCGCCGGCGACGGUUCAUUCAAAUUUCUGCCCUAUCAACUUUCGAUGGUAAGGUAUUGGCUUACCAUGGUUUCAACGGGUAACGGGGAAUUAGGGUUCGAUUCCGGAGAGGGAGCCUGAGAAACGGCUACCACAUCCAAGGAAGGCAGCAGGCGCGCAAAUUACCCAAUCCCGACACGGGGAGGUAGUGACAAUAAAUACUGAUACAGGGCUCUUUUGGGUCUUGUAAUCGGAAUGAGUACAAUUUAAACCCCUUAACGAGGAACAAUUGGAGGGCAAGUCUGGUGCCAGCAGCCGCGGUAAUUCCAGCUCCAAUAGCGUAUAUUAAAGUUGUUGCAGUUAAAAAGCUCGUAGUUGAACCUUGGGCCUGGCUGGCCGGUCCGCCUCACCGCGUGUACUGGUCGGCCGGGCCUUUCCUUCUGGAGAACCCCAUGCCCUUCACUGGGUGUGCGGGGGAACCAGGACUUUUACUGUGAAAAAAUUAGAGUGUUCAAAGCAGGCCUUUGCUCGAAUACGUUAGCAUGGAAUAAUAGAAUAGGACGUGCGAUCCUAUUUUGUUGGUUUCUAGGACCGCCGUAAUGAUUAAUAGGGAUAGUCGGGGGCAUCAGUAUUCAAUUGUCAGAGGUGAAAUUCUUGGAUUUAUUGAAGACUAACUACUGCGAAAGCAUUUGCCAAGGAUGUUUUCAUUAAUCAGUGAACGAAA